RNAcentral lists this long non-coding RNA (2308 nucleotides) under Phoenix dactylifera (date palm). RNAcentral describes it as "long non-coding RNA (PDAC_LNC004640)". The record is from RNAcentral. Lineage: Eukaryota; Viridiplantae; Streptophyta; Magnoliopsida; Arecales; Arecaceae.
AAAGAAAGAAAGAAAGAAGAAGAAGAAGAAGAAGAAGAAGAAAGAAGAAGGGAAGGGAGUUUGAGGUGGAAGGGAGCCCCGGUUGCGCUGCCAGUUGAAGGAAAAAAGCGUAGGUCUUCUUCCCCUCUACGCAAAGACCUCGAUUUUCCGAAGAGAAAAGAUAAAUACCCAUCCCUACCUAGUCUUCUAAUGAAAUUAGGCUAUACAAAGGGNNNNNNNNNNNNNNNNNNNNGGUGAGACGGUAGAGUUAAACAGAGAGGGAGAAACACAGAGAGAAGGAAAAGAAAAGAAAGAAAGAAGAAGAAGAAAAAGAAGAAAGAAGAAGGGAAGGGAGUUUGAGGUGGAAGGGAUCCCCGGUUGCGCUGCCAGUUGAAGGGAAAAGCGUAGGUCUUCUUCCUCCUCUACGCAAAGACCUCGAUUUUCCGAAGAGAAAAGGUAAAUACCCAUCCCUACCUAGUCUUCUAAUGAAAUUAGGCUAUACAAAGGGUGGAUGUGGUCUAGAGAGGUUGGAUAAGGGUUGUAGAGGUGGUUAAAAGAGGAAGAAUCGGAUUUCGACAAGUUUUUCCGGCACUGCGGAAAAACUGUGUCGAAGUCCCAACUUUGGUGAAUUAUUUUGGGGGUCAAUCGGCCUCCGAUGAUGAUGUAUCUUACCAUUUUGGAAACCCCUAUGAGUGUAGAACAUUGGGUAUAAAUUUCAUAAAAAUUGGAGUUCGGAAAGUGGAUCAAAAUCGGGAUGAAGUAACCCACUGUCAGUCCGGGUUACUGUUCAUCCGGAUGAAGAAGAUGAAAAAAGGAUGAUGUUGGGUCGACCCAAGGUUCAGUAAAAUUUUGGAUUAGAAGGGAUUCGAUCCUUUCGCACACCUUGACCCUAUAGCAUUGGUCCAAGGUGUGUGUGGGAUACUCUUGCAUCAUGAUUCAUGUAAAUUGAGGAUUAAUUAAUAAGAAUAAGGGAAAAAGAAAAGAUGUUAAUUAAGGGAGGAAGUUGUGUCAACUGAAACUUUUAUGCUUACAAUUGAUACGUAGGUUAUUGGGCCUUGAUACAAGAAUAAAUGUGUUAUUAAUGCAUGUUUCAGUUGGGCAAGGAACUAAGGAUCAAGAGGAAGAAGUCUCCUACUGCCUUCCAUAGAGUUUUGGAGGUGUAUCAGAACCGUGCCGUAUUGGCAGGUGAGUGGGAGUCAUGUACUUUGCACCAUGAGCAUUCUUAAUUCAUUUUCAUGAAUGUCGCCAAUUGUAAAUUGAUUCCACUUGUGCAUAUUGAUUGAUAUUGUAGUAGAUUCCUCUAUAAUCUUGUUUCUCCAUGCUUGAUUAUUUUGUACACGCAUUUGAGGAAACAUUGAGAGAAAUUACGAGGGAUAGAAGAGUAGUCAAAUUGGUUCCGAAUUGUGAAAUGACUUCUUUUGUAAAUUGAUUUCAUUUCCUCUAUUUCAAAGACUUGUAGAGCCAUUUUCAGUGGUAUAUUGAGUUGCAUUGCACUCCCAUGAUUCCUCACUCCCAACCCUGAUGUUAGUUAUAAUUGGAUCGUGGUCGAGUGAGUGGUAGUCUUGAUUAUGCUCCUUUUUAGUAGAGUAUUGGGAGGGUACAUUAUGGCAUUAUGCAUGGUUUGGCAGUAUCUACAGGACACUUAUAGUCGAUGUGGUUAGACAUCGGCCUGUGUGCACAUAGUAGCCUUCUGGGUGGGCGGAGCCCAGUCCCUUCUUAGGGGAGACAUGGCCCUAGGCGUAGGAUCGGCCGGUCCUGCGACUUAUAUAUGGCUUGCCGCCGGGCAAAGUAAAACCCCGCAAGGUGCCGUUUAGUAUACAGAUGUGAGAUGUUUCUAUGGAUUUCUGUUCUGGAUACUGGCCAGCAUAUACAUUAUCAGUAUGGUGUCUUAUCCUGCAUAUGCAUGUGACAGUGGGGAGUUGUUGUGGUUCGCCUGGGACGUAAGACCCACCUCCCGACAGCUAUCUAGUGAUGACUUCGCAUAUUGACUCCCCGAUUUGCAUAUUUCAGUGUUAUAAUCUAUUGAGCAUAUUCAUGAUGUAUCAUUCAUGUCUAUUUGAUUAUUCUAUAUAUGCUCCUGAUGAGUUGAUUAUGAUUGUAGUGAUACUGUGAUGAUUUACUCCAUAUUUCUUAUGUUGAGUUGUGUGCACCCUAUUAUUGAUGACUGCUCAUAUGCUCUUGAGAUUUCACCUCGAGCCAUGAUUAUAUCUUAUCUCAUGUGUAUAGUACUCUCUAGUCCACUCACUGAGCAUUCAUAUACUCACUCCCCAGUUUGGUAUUUUUGAUUGCAGGGCAGGUGUUGUAUAGAGAAGAGCAGGGUUAGAGAUUG